UACGAAGGGGGCUAGCGUUGUUCGGAAUUACUGGGCGUAAAGGGCGCGUAGGCGGUGUGUCAAGUCAGGCGUGAAAGCCCCGGGCUCAACCUGGGAACAGCGCUUGAGACUGGCACGCUCGAGUUCGGGAGAGGAUGGUGGAAUUCCCAGUGUAGAGGUGAAAUGCGUAGAUAUCUGGAGGAACACCGGUGGCGAAGGCGGCAUCCGGGACCGACACUGACGCUGAGGAGCGAAAGCCAGGGGAGCAAACGGG
This 253-nucleotide ribosomal RNA is filed under the name uncultured bacterium. Its description in RNAcentral is "partial 16S ribosomal RNA". It matches the Rfam family "Bacterial small subunit ribosomal RNA", at positions 524 to 776 of the family's 1533-position model. The record is from RNAcentral.